GUAGGUGGCAAGCGUUGUCCGGAAUUAUUGGGGCGUAAAGCGCGCGCAGGCGGUCCUUUAAGUCUGAUGUGAAAGCCCACGGGCUCAACCGUGGGAGGGUCAUUGGAAACUGGGGGACUUGAGUGCAGAAGAGGAGAGUGGAAUUCCACGUGUAGCGGUGAAAUGCGUAGAGAUGUGGAGGAACACCAGUGGCGAAGGCGACUCUCUGGUCUGUAACUGACGCUGAGGCGCGAAAGCGUGGGGAGCGAACAGGAUUAGAUACCCUGGUAGUCCACGCCGUAAACGAUGAGUGCUAAGUGUUAGAGGGUUUCCGCCCUUUAGUGCUGCAGCUAACGCAUUAAGCACUCCGCCUGGGGAGUACGGUCGCAAGACUG
This 374-nucleotide ribosomal RNA is filed under the name uncultured organism. RNAcentral's name for it is "partial 16S ribosomal RNA". It matches the Rfam family "Bacterial small subunit ribosomal RNA", at positions 527 to 896 of the family's 1533-position model. The record is from RNAcentral.